AUUGAACGCUGGCGGCACGCUUAACACAUGCAAGUCGAGCGGUAACAUGGGUAGUAGCAAUACUAUCUGAUGACGAGCGGCGGACGGGUGAGUAACACGUAGGAACUUGCCCAGUAGAGGGGGACAACCAAGGGAAACUUUGGCUAAUACCGCAUAUACUCGAGAGAGGAAAGCUGCCGCAAGGUGGCGCUACUGGAAAGCACUGCUUCCGAUUAGCUAGUUGGUGAGGUAAUAGCCUACCAAGGCGAGGAUCGGUAACUGGUCUGAGAGGACGACCAGUCACACUGGGACUGAGACACGGCCCAGACUCCUACGGGAGGCAGCAGUGGGGAAUCUUGGACAAUGGGGGCAACCCUGAUCCAGCGAUGCCGCGUGAGUGAAGAAGGCCUUCGGGUCGUAAAGCUCUUUAGGCUGGGAAGAAGGUUAGUAGUUUAAGAGAUAACUAGCUUGACUGUACCAGCAGAAUAAGCACCGGCAAACUCUGUGCCAGCAGCCGCCGCCG
RNAcentral lists this ribosomal RNA (502 nucleotides) under uncultured bacterium. Its description in RNAcentral is "partial 16S ribosomal RNA". It matches the Rfam family "Bacterial small subunit ribosomal RNA", at positions 30 to 523 of the family's 1533-position model. The record is from RNAcentral.